RNAcentral lists this ribosomal RNA (31 nucleotides) under Fomitopsis pulvina. RNAcentral describes it as "Buglossoporus pulvinus partial 28S ribosomal RNA". The record is from RNAcentral. Lineage: Eukaryota; Fungi; Basidiomycota; Agaricomycetes; Polyporales; Fomitopsidaceae. RNAcentral also lists the same sequence under 1 other name.
CAAAUCAGGUAGGGUUACCCGCUGAACUUAA